CAAGACAUGUGAGUUUCUCUAGGAAAAACUUCAUUUGCUCAAGUUCUCCAACUUCUCCUCCAUACUCAGUUAUCUUCAGUACUUUCACAGGUGAAAAUUCAUACUCUCGUUCAGCAUUAUCAGCUUGCAUUGGACCCUGAAACAAGGUUAGAGAUUUAGAGCUUGUCCCAUUAAAGUAACUUUCAAGGGUGUGGUUUUCGGUAAUUACAUUGAUGACAAGAAUCUAUAAAUUUGGAGACUUGUUUAAAAGUAGUGGCAGAAACUCUCAGUCAUAGCUUGGGAAAUCAAUUGUAAUAAUUAAGCGGGACAGGCUGAUAAACACUAGAACUGCUUCACGCCGAGAACAAAAUGCCUGACAAAAGAAAAAAAAAAGUCUAAUCAUCACCAGCUUCUUCAUCUGGCGAUGUUGAAAAGGAUAUUGCACAAAAAAUGCAUGGUUUAAAAAAAAAAUUAUUGGAGUUACGAAAUGUAGCGUGCUUGGGCUAACAAAUUGUGUGUUAAUUAAGAAAACAUACAUUAAACUAGGUUCGACUUAAUUCAGAACAUUUUAACAAACAAACAGACGUUAAACUAGGUUCGAUUUAAUUUCAGAACACUUAAACAAGCAAAUAUUAUCAUAAGAUUUGAGUUUAGGAAAGAAACAUUGGGUUAAAAACUUACUACUCCGGUAAUCAUAAUGGUUUAAAUCAGGAGAAACAAGAAAGAGAUCAAUAUCUCCUCCCAAAAUUUUCUACCAUCUCUUAUUUCCUUAGAUAUUUGUGUUCCUCCU
RNAcentral lists this long non-coding RNA (769 nucleotides) under Brassica rapa (field mustard). RNAcentral's name for it is "long non-coding RNA (BRAP_LNC002209)". The record is from RNAcentral. Lineage: Eukaryota; Viridiplantae; Streptophyta; Magnoliopsida; Brassicales; Brassicaceae.